This 253-nucleotide ribosomal RNA is filed under the name uncultured bacterium. RNAcentral's name for it is "partial 16S ribosomal RNA". It matches the Rfam family "Bacterial small subunit ribosomal RNA", at positions 524 to 776 of the family's 1533-position model. The record is from RNAcentral.
UACGAAGGGGGCUAGCGUUGUUCGGAAUCACUGGGCGUAAAGCGCACGCAGGCGGACUGAUUAGUCGGGGGUGAAAUCCCGGGGCUCAACCUCGGAAUUGCCUUCGAUACUGUUAGUCUAGAGUCCGGGAGAGGUGAGUGGAAUUCCUAGUGUAGAGGUGAAAUUCGUAGAUAUUAGGAAGAACACCAGUGGCGAAGGCGGCUCACUGGCCCGGUACUGACGCUCAGGUGCGAAAGCGUGGGGAGCAAACAGG